RNAcentral lists this long non-coding RNA (399 nucleotides) under Mytilus galloprovincialis (Mediterranean mussel). Lineage: Eukaryota; Metazoa; Mollusca; Bivalvia; Mytilida; Mytilidae. The record is from RNAcentral.
GGUUCGUAUGCACGGCUGUCUCAAAUGAGUCCCAAAAUGAUUGCCAUUGAAGUAUAUCUCCAUCGAAAGUAGGGAGAUUCAACUUGGGUAGUUUGUUGUAUUUACUAGUUGAGCUAAAGGAUGGGCGAAAAUCUGACAAACGGUAAUUUGAGUUGUUCUGGUGUUCUGUAUAUGAAGAGUUUAUAGUAUGAACGGGUUGAGUAGUUUCUAUGCGGGGAGUAAAACUUUCUGCGUGUGUAUUCAACGAUGUAGUUUUGACUAAGAUAAAUUUGUUGACUUGACGAAUUUUACCUUCUAAGUUAAAUGCAUACUCAUCUGCUUCAACGAUCUCUGUUUCAAUAUCUCCGUCGUCCAGUUCCUGUACUAUGUCCUCAUCUAACUUGCGUAAUAUUUCUUGCU